Molecule: ribosomal RNA, 337 nt
Filed under: uncultured archaeon
Lineage: Archaea
Description: partial 16S ribosomal RNA
Rfam family: Archaeal small subunit ribosomal RNA
Source: RNAcentral
CGGGAAACUGGGGAUAAUACUCUAUAGGCUAUGGAUGCUGGAAUGCUUCGUAGUUGAAAGGUGAGCCGCCGUAGGAUGGGUCUGCGGCCGAUUAGGUUGUUGUUGGGGUAACGGCCCAACAAGCCUGUAAUCGGUACGGGUUGUGGGAGCAAGAGCCCGGAGAUGGAUUCUGAGACACGAAUCCAGGCCCUACGGGGCGCAGCAGGCGCGAAAACUUUACAAUGCGGGAAACCGUGAUAAGGGAACUCUGAGUGCCCGUAAAAUCGGGCUGUCCAUUUGUUUAAAAAACAAGUGAAGAAAGGGCCGGGCAAGACCGGUGCCAGCCGCCGCGGUAACA